This 372-nucleotide long non-coding RNA is filed under the name Panax ginseng (ginseng). RNAcentral's name for it is "long non-coding RNA (PGIN_LNC005645)". Lineage: Eukaryota; Viridiplantae; Streptophyta; Magnoliopsida; Apiales; Araliaceae. The record is from RNAcentral.
GAGAAGGAAUAAAUAAUGAAUACUCAAUUAACCAUUAAUUAUAAAUAAGGUUCAACAUCCCUUAGAACUGAAUAAAAAGAACUUAGCUCAUGUCUUCAAUCCUCCAAUGUUGUAGAUGAGAGAAUGUAGUAGAUGAUUGAAUGUAUAAAACCCUGACUAGCAUCCUCUAUUUAUAGUGCUAGACAAAGUCUUAAAUCAUAUAGGAAGUAGAAAUCCAAAUCCUAAAAGGAAUUACAAAUCAUAACUAGUUUCUAUAAAGAAAUAGAAUCCAAUUUGGAAGUAAAUCUUAGUCUAAAGAUAUCCUAAUUCUAAUAGAAAUAUCAAUCCAAUUCCAUGUAGAAAUCUGUCAAAAUAUACUUUUAGAAACUUUUC